Molecule: long non-coding RNA, 4275 nt
Organism: Triticum aestivum (bread wheat)
Lineage: Eukaryota; Viridiplantae; Streptophyta; Magnoliopsida; Poales; Poaceae
Exons: 6
Source: RefSeq, a predicted model, not a curated record
UUUUUUGAGUACACAUGUGGUGGGGGCGAGCUAGUAUAGUAAAAGGUAGAAAAAAAAAGAAGUUCAGCGGAGUCAUGGAGGCGGACGCGGAGGCGAGCGCGACCGCGGCGGCGGUGGCGGCUGGAUCGUCGCUGGCGGCUCAGGAUGUCAUCUUCCCGGUAGAUCCAGUGUGCAGGCUGCCGAUCUUCCAUGGCGAAGCGCUGUCGGCGUGCUCGGUGCAGGGCGGCGAUUUGGCCUAGAACCAAACAGGGGGUGUGGCUUCUUCGGUGGAUGGCAAAGGCAGCUGCGGCGCCCCCGCCGGCGAGUGUAGUGCGGAGAGCGCACCGGCAGAGUCGGGGGAGUCAGCAGUAAAACCUGAUCCAAAUAGUGUAGGCUGGAUUAGAAGGUACAUCUUGCUUGCGCUGUAGCUACGCACAAAAAAUGAUGGUAGAAGUGAUUGGGAAACAUGUUCUUGUUUGGUUUUUGGGCCGGUGGUGGCUGAUAUUUAUGGUUUCAAUUGGAAUGAAAAGGGAGUAAUCAAGUUAAAUUUUUUUAAUUGAUGCUAAUGGCAUUAUGUUCACUGAAUUUUAUCCAGACGUGGUAGGCAUUCGUAACUGACAAGCAGUAGCUUUAGCCCUGUUCGGCGAUAAUGGGAUUCAGUCGCCAAGUUUAAAAAAGCUGUUUUACGCUGUCUGCUAAAGGCUCGUGUGAUAACCAUGAAUUUGUUGGAGCAUGACUCGUCACUAAUCCUAGGGAAAAUAAAGGAACGAAUACAUAGGGGAUUCAUGUUGAGUACUGCAUUUUGUUUUCUAAAAGUAGCGACGGAAAAACUGUUCCUGAAAAUGACAUUGAAAAUCUCUUGGUUGCAUCAGAGUCCGAGUUGGAGCAAAUCCAAUUGAGCGAACACCCUGCCCUGGGAGGAUGGGGGCUCUAGAGAAGACAAUUAGGGGCUUUGCGGAAAGGGCUGGGGAUGAAGUGGUGAAGCCGGAGCUCGGGACAUCUUUUGACUCACUAACAGAGGCGUACGAUUUUUACAACUUAUAUUCAUGGGAGCAUGGGUUUGGUAUUAGAUACGGAAAGAGCCGACUUAAUCUAGAUAAAAGAAAGACCAUGCAGGAGAUUGUGUGCGGCUGCUCGGGGAAACCUCUGCGUGAGAAUACACGUUCUUGCAGAUGUGAGUGUCCAGCAAUGAUAAGGUUGUUAAGGACAUCGGACAACGGCUGGUACAUAACGGAGCAUCGAGUCAAGCAUAAUCAUGUGAUGACGCCAAAUUGUGGAGAAAUGCUGCACUGGCCAUCUCACAAGCACAUUGAUGUGUACACCAAAGAUCUGGUUCGGAACCUACGGAAGAACAACAUCAACCUCAGCAAGGUGUACAGCAUUAUAGCUGGGUUUUUUUGGCACAGUUGAGAGUGUGCCUUUCACGAAACGGUCUCUUCGUAAUUUGUGUGGACAGAUAAGCCGUGACGAGGCAGAGGAUGAUGUUAGAAAAACGAUUGAAGUUUUCGAUGAGCUUGGAGCUAAGGAUCCUGAAUUUCUGUUCAGGGUGCAGCCAGACUGGGAAGGCAGGAUAAGGAAUUUGAUGUGGGCAACAGGAGAUAGCCGGUUGAAAUACAAGUUUUUUGGUGAUGUUGUCACUUUCGAUACGACUUAUCGGACGAACGUGUACAACAUGCCGUUUGGUUUAUUUGUUGGAGUGAACAACCACUACCAGAGUAUACUCCUAGCAGGAGUGCUGAUGAGGGACGAGCAGGUGGAGAGCUUCGAGUGGGUCUUCACCGAGUUUGUUAGGAUGAUGGGUGGGGUGGCUCCUCGUACGAUACUUACGGAUCAGUGUGGAGCGAUGUAGAUUGGUAUAAAAAAGACACUUCCUAACACAGUCCAUCGGUGGUGCAAAUGGCAUGUACUGAAGAAAGCAAAAGAAAGUCUGGGAGCACUCUAUGGAAAGAGGAACGAAUUCAGGCAGGAAUUUCAUAAGGUUGUGAACCACAUGUUAACGGUGGACGAAUUUGAGGAGGCGUGGCACAAUUAUUAGAGAAACACAACCUGAAGGAGCACUCGUACAUGACUCAGCUCUUUGAGAUUAGGGAGAAAUGGGCUAAGCCAUACAUCAAAGGAGUCUUUUGUGCAAAAAUGACCAGUACCCAACGCAGCGAGAGUGCAAACCAUAUGCUUAAGUGCUAUGUUCCACCAGGAUCGCCAAUGCAUAUGUUUGUGAGGCAAUACAUGAGGCUGCAGUUUGAUAGGUCGUCUGACGAGAGUUACGAGGAGAAGAGAACAAAAAUAGGAGGGGUUGUGAUGCGGACGGACUCAUCUAUCGAGCUGGAUGCAAGCAGAAUUUACACGAGAUCCAUGUUCGAGCAGUUCCAACUCAUUCUGUACGAAGCAUGGGGGUACCGAGUGCAGGAGGUAGAGCAAAACUCAUUGUACAGGGCGACGCACACAAGACCUGACCAGCGUGAGAAAUGGAGCAGAGUCGUCUUCAUGGUGAGAAAUGGAGCAGAGUCGUCUUCAUGGUGAGAAUGCAUGACGACGGCGACCGGUUUGAAUGCGAGUGCGGGCUUUUUGAACACAUGGGUAUGCUUUGUGCCCACGUCUUGAAGGUUAUGGACUACCUAGGAAUGACUAGGAUUCCCAAGAAGCACAUCGUGAAACGGUGAACGAAGGAUGUGCGGGACAUACUACCAGAACACCUGCAGCACUAUCAGCGUGAUAAGAUUAGUACAACAACUUUGACAUUCAGACAUAACAGAAUGUACGUGCAGGCGCUGGAGUUGGUCAGGCUAGGGGAUGCUAGUGUGGAAGCUUAUGACACGUUAAUGGCUCUAUUCAACCAAGCGCUUGUGGUGAUGAAUGUUAGCACUAAUCUUGUCAUGAUGUACCAGCAUGCAUGUUUAGUUUUGAGUUUGCAUGUAGUUUAGAUGAUCUAGGGCAGUGUAUGUAGGCCAAUGAUACUUCAGCUAGGCGCGUGAAGAAAGCGAGAUGCCGGGCUGCCGUGCGAUGCGGUGAGCAUGGCAAGAUGCCGAUGAUGUCGUGCGAUACGGCGAGGCUGUGAGAAGCAGCGAGACGCGACGAAGCUGGAGGAUGAUGGGCUGCUCGUUCAGGUUGAGCCGAGUGAUUUGGCCAAGCCGUAGUUAGUUAGAGUGUGCUGGUUGGUUGUAGCUAGCUAGCUUCGUGCAUGAAGUAGUAGGCCACGUUGAGACGUGGAAUUGGUUUUAGAUAUGGCCGAGUCUUGUCGCUGCUGGAGUGAUUCUAGCUUGGAGUAGGAUAAGGCAGUUAGCAUGUGCAUGUAGAUAGGACUAGUUAGUGCAUGCAGGACGUGCUGUUAGUGGCCGAUUAUGAUGGCCGGUUAGUGCGUGCGUGAUGGCCGGACGUGAUGGCUGGCUGUGUGCCCUCCUGUGUAUAUAUAUUUCACAUUGAGCAAUGAAGAAGAGGCCGUGAGGGCUGGCAGAAAUAAUGUAGUGCAUGUGUGUCUCACCGGGAGUGAAAAGCAAAGCUGUGUUCUCCACGGUGAGGUGUGCGCUUGUGUUUUCUGAGUUUCACCAUGUGUGUGUGUUCUUGUGUGAGACAAAGAGAGUUGAGCUGUGAGAGGCAGCAAGAGGUAGAAGAAGAAGGGGCGCUGCGAGAGGGCAGCGCCAACAAUUGGCAUCAGAGCCUUGUUGAUCCGUGGCGGCGACGACGGUGCCGGCGGCUAUGGUGGCCGGCGUGGCGCUGGGUGCGAGGUGAUGGCUGGCAGCGGCGCGAUGCCGCGGGCGGCCGGUUGCGGUGCGAUGCCGCGAGAUGAAGGUGGUGCGAUGAUCGGCGUCGCGAGGACGUCAUCCACGACAAGAUGGUCCGUGGUGACCGGCGCUGCGACGGCGUCGGUUGUGGCGCGACGGACUUCAUGCGAGAUGGAGGCCGACGGCGCAAGAAGGAGGAUGGUGGCCAUGCGGUGCCGCUAUGUGAAGAUGGCGGUGCGAAGCUGCCACAAGAAGAGUCGGCGUGAUGCCGAUGACGGUGGUGUGAUGCCAUCGUCAUCAUGGAAAGUUGGUGUGAAGCCAACAAAAGUUGCGGUGCGAUGCCGCUUGGCGAAGACGGCGUGGUGAUCGGCGCUGCGACAGCGUCGUCCACAUCGAGAGGAGGCCGCCACGAGCGGCAAGUCGGCAUGGUGGUUGGCGCUGCGACGGCGUCGUGCACGGCAAGGUGUUGCGGGCGAUCCGCGAGAGGAACUGGCGGUUUAGCAUGACAAGAUUAGGGAGGUGAUUGUUAGCACUAAUCUUGUCAUGAUGUACCAGCAUGCAUGUUUAGUUUUGAGUU